This 1794-nucleotide long non-coding RNA is filed under the name Apis florea (little honeybee). Its description in RNAcentral is "uncharacterized LOC105737220". Lineage: Eukaryota; Metazoa; Arthropoda; Insecta; Hymenoptera; Apidae. The record is from RNAcentral.
AUGUGUUAAAUUUUCGAUUCGAUGUCAUCAGAAAUUUCGAAGAGGAACGCACGUGACAAUAAGUGGUAAUAUUAUGGGCACACACUGAAUAGAUACACGUGGUAAAGUCUUCAAGAGGGAAAGAAAGAUGCAAUCGCUUGCAAAAAGAACGCAGACAGAAAAUAUAACCAGUAUCAUUAUAUAUAAACUGAUAAACGAAGAAUGAAAUGGAGAAUUCACUUCAAGAGAAAGACAGAGGUUUAAGAUACUAACAAUAAGAUAAAGAAGGACAGAAUGACCAACAAGGAUAGAAGAACACAAUAUGAGCGAUAAGGAGAGGGGAGCAAGCAAAUAGAGGGGCAUAUACAUUGCGAAAAAGACAGAGAGAAACGCAGAACAGAAAUAGAUGAGCGUACUGAAGUAUAAGUUAAAAGGAGAGAGAAUGACAAUAGAGAGAGGUGAAGAGGAAGGAGUACGAAGGCCGUUGCAUGAAUAAGCGCACGCGCGAUCUAUAAGCACGUGGGUAAACCGCCUCCAACAAGAUUCGCACAUACAAUAUUGGACUCGUGGAUAUACGCAAAUAGCGUUUUCAUUUCUUUCUACAUCUCCCAUAUCUGCCACGUCGUGUUGCGGAACUCGUACAUGUACUUUAUUAAACUUUAUCGAACUCGAGACUACGCGAAACUGGUGGAUUUUUCGCGAACUAACGAAAACAGAGAACGUGUCGUUAUGGUAAGUCACCGUGUAAUUUCAACACGUCGAGCGUCGCCUCGUACUGAGAAGUCACCAACAAUGGCGCCGAACGAUAAAAGUUCGGAUAGUAGCAUAUGCCGUACGUGCCAUGCGGCAUGACACCGAUGGCCGCACAGUCACGUGGAACCAAUACAUAUAGAUAGAACUUCUACGUGGAAGAACGUCGCGUCGUGUACGCACACGCGCAACUGCACAGAAUGCCGAAACGAGACGAACAUGUGACUUAGACGAAGAAAGUGAACAUCUUACAUGGUGGGGAGAAGCAAAGGAUGAUCUAAAGUGAGAAAAACAAGGUUUGAAACAGAAUUACAUAGAAAAUAUUAGUCUGACAAAGAUACGAAAGCAUCUAAGGAGAAAAGAAACUGCAAAUACGAAACGCAGACGGAGAGAAAAUAUGAGAUAGAAGAUACAUACGGAAAGAAAGGAGAGGUUAAGUGCAGAGUGCAAGAGAUAAGAGACAUGGCUUGCAAGGAGUGGGGAUCACGAGAUAGAAGAGACAACAAGAAACGCUGUGGUGGGGGAACAGCGUGUCUUUAGAAACAACUCUGUACGGCAAAUAGAGCAACGAUAAGAUGAAGAAAGAAUGUAUAUGCACAUUUACUAUAAAAAAUAAGGGAUAAAAAAUUGUCAUGUAAAAGUAGAAUAAUAUACUGUAAGUGCAUGCGAUCAGGUUAAAGAAAAACAACGGCAACGAUGUUUGCAUGUAUUUACAGUGAAAACGAUACGUAUGCCGUUCACAUUGGAAAGAAACAAACAGACCGUACAGUAAGUAGACAAAAAGAGAAGCAUGCGCAGACUGAAAGAGUACAGAGAAAGAGAUACAGAAAAUAAACGGACCGGAGAGAGAAAGAUAGAAACAAAUGGUAAACAACAAAGACAGAUUCAGCGGCACUAGAGACAACAGAAGUGCGAGAAAGAUGCGAAACAGUUGAUGGUAGAAUCAGAAUUGAAAUCACGAAAGAAGGAAAAGGAGGAAGUGUAGUCGACCUUCGCGAGGACGCACAUUCGUGAUUCUUUGAUGAUCGCAUGCAGUUUCACAACUCUUCCGAAAUUGCAGCAAAA